UUAAAGGAUAAGUCCUAAAGAUCCUUGAAAUCCCGAAAGAUUUCACAAAUCUCUUCAAAAGGCUCUAAUCUCCCCUCCAAAGAAUAUCGAUGGCAAGAAGAAGGUUGAAGAUGGCUCCCACAAUCAAAAGAUUGUUAAAACAACUUCUAAAGAAAACUCAAGAGAGAAUUCUUGGAGAAAACCCCAAAGAAAAUUCUGC
RNAcentral lists this long non-coding RNA (199 nucleotides) under Gossypium barbadense (sea-island cotton). RNAcentral describes it as "long non-coding RNA (GBAR_LNC003105)". Lineage: Eukaryota; Viridiplantae; Streptophyta; Magnoliopsida; Malvales; Malvaceae. The record is from RNAcentral.